UGCUUCCAUGGUUUUAAUAUCUGCAGAACGAACAGGUACAAUAUUAUUAAGAAUCACUAGAAAAGAACAGGAAAGGAUAAAACAGAUAUGUGACAAAAUCUUUAGAAAUUAAAAGCCUAAUGCUUAUAUUGUGGACAGAAUCACAGAAACAAAACUCUAUCAUGCAAUUCAGCAAUGCCAAGUAUUAAAAGCAACAGAGAGUUAAUGACAAAACCAAAUUUCAAAAACAAUACUGAGAUGAAAACAAACACAAGCCAGAGGAAAAAGAAUCUGACAAGUUUGAAGAUGAACAUUUAUCAAUAACUUAAACACCUUGCACAUGAAAAUUUUCAAUAUUAAAUGCUUAUAUUUUGUAUACUUUGAACACCCUGUACAUGGAAA
RNAcentral lists this unclassified non-coding RNA (381 nucleotides) under Hevea brasiliensis (rubber tree). The record is from RNAcentral. Lineage: Eukaryota; Viridiplantae; Streptophyta; Magnoliopsida; Malpighiales; Euphorbiaceae.